This 80-nucleotide transfer RNA is filed under the name Enterocloster aldenensis. RNAcentral describes it as "[Clostridium] aldenense tRNA-Leu". It matches the Rfam family "tRNA". From Rfam's summary of the family: Transfer RNA (tRNA) molecules are approximately 80 nucleotides in length. The record is from RNAcentral. Lineage: Bacteria; Bacillati; Bacillota; Clostridia; Lachnospirales; Lachnospiraceae.
GUCCAUAUGGUGGAACGGAAUACACGCUCGGCUAAGAACCGGGUCCCAAGAGGAUGUGGGUUCAAAUCCCACUAUGGACA